This 466-nucleotide ribosomal RNA is filed under the name uncultured bacterium. Its description in RNAcentral is "bacterial SSU rRNA". It matches the Rfam family "Bacterial small subunit ribosomal RNA", at positions 338 to 795 of the family's 1533-position model. The record is from RNAcentral.
CCUACGGGUGGCACCAGUGGGGAAUAUUGGGCAAUGGGCGCAAGCCUGACCCAGCAACGCCGUGUGAGGGAAGAAGGUUUUCGGAUCGUAAACCUCUGUCAGAAGGGAAGAAGUGGCAGGUAUUUAAUAUAUGCCUGCUUUGACGGUACCUUCAGAGGAAGCACCGGCUAACUCCGUGCCAGCAGCCGCGGUAAUACGGAGGGUGCAAGCGUUAUUCGGAAUCACUGGGCGUAAAGCGCGCGUAGGUUGCGUGGUAAGUCAGAUGUGAAAGCCCCCGGCUCAACCGGGGAACUGCAUUUGAAACUGCCAUGCUUGAGUACGACAGAGGGUGGCGGAAUUCCCGGUGUAGGAGUGAAAUCCGUAGAUAUCGGGAGGAACACCAGUGGCGAAGGCGGCCACCUGGGUCGAUACUGACGCUGAGGUGCGAAAGCGUGGGUAGCAAACAGGAUUAGAUACCCUUGUAGUC